RNAcentral lists this ribosomal RNA (1345 nucleotides) under metagenome. RNAcentral describes it as "bacterial LSU rRNA". It matches the Rfam family "Bacterial large subunit ribosomal RNA", at positions 1564 to 2912 of the family's 2925-position model. The record is from RNAcentral.
GUUUGGGAGGUCGUUACGACGACCGCAUGGUGAAGGAAAGUGCCAAGAAAAGCUAGUAAUGUGAUGAAGAUAUCUUACCCGUACCCGAAACCGACACAGGUAGGGAGGUUGAGAAUACCAAGGGGCGCGAGAUAACUCUCUCUAAGGAACUCGGCAAAAUGGCCCCGUAACUUCGGAAGAAGGGGUGCCCACGAGAGUGGGUCGCAGUGAAGAGAUCCAGGCGACUGUUUACCAAAAACACAGGUCUCCGCAAACUCGAAAGAGGACGUAUGGGGGCUGACGCCUGCCCAGUGCCGGAAGGUUAAGGAAGUUGGUCAGUUUUCGGAUGAAGCUAGCGACCGAAGCCCCGGUGAACGGCGGCCGUAACUAUAACGGUCCUAAGGUAGCGAAAUUCCUUGUCGGGUAAGUUCCGACCCGCACGAAAGGCGUAACGAUCUGGAUGGUGUCUCAGAGAGAGACUCGGCGAAAUAGGAAUGUCUGUGAAGAUACGGACUACCUGCACCUGGACAGAAAGACCCUAUGAAGCUUUACUGUAGCCUGGAAUUGUGUUCGGGCUUGGCUUGCGCAGGAUAGGUGGGAAGCGAUGAAGUAUUUCUUGUGGGGAAUAUGGAGCUAACGGUGAGAUACCACUCUGGCGAAGCUAGAAUCCUAACUCAUCUCCGUCAGCCGGAGAGAGGACAGUUUCAGGUGGGCUGUUUGACUGGGGCGGUCGCCUCCUAAAAGGUAACGGAGGCGCGCAAAGGUUCUCUCAGCACGCUUGGAAACCGUGCGGCGAGUGUAAAGGCAAAAAGAGAGCUUGACUGUGAGACCGACAAGUCGAACAGGUACGAAAGUAGGCCUUAGUGAUCCGACGGCACAGCAUGGAAUGGCCGUCGCUCAACGGAUAAAAGUUACUCUAGGGAUAACAGGCUGAUCUCCCCCAAGAGUUCACAUCGACGGGGAGGUUUGGCACCUCGAUGUCGGCUCAUCGCAGCCUGGGCGGAAGUACGUCCCAAGGGUUGGGCUGUUCGCCCAUUAAAGCGGUACGUGAGCUGGGUUCAGAACGUCGUGAGACAGUUCGGUCCAUAUCCGGUGCAGGCGUAAGAACAUUGAGAGGAGUCCUCCUUAGUACGAGAGGACCGGGAGGAACGAACCGCUGGUGUACCAGUUAUUGUACCAACAGUAGACGCUGGGUAGCCACGUUCGGAGCGGAUAACCGCUGAAAGCAUCUAAGUGGGAAGCCCACCUCAAGAUGAGUGUUCUCACUACUUUAAGUAGGUAAGGUCACGGGCAGAACACCCGUUCAUAGGCUCUAAGUGGAAGUACAGUAAUGUAUGAAGCUGAGGAGUGCUAACAGACCGAGGGC